UACGAAGGGGGCUAGCGUUGCUCGGAAUUACUGGGCGUAAAGCGCACGUAGGCGGUCUUUUAAGUCGGGGGUGAAAUCCUGGAGCUCAACUUCGGAACUGCCCUUGAUACAGCACGUCUUGAGUCCGGAAGAGGUGGGUGGAAUUCCUAGUGUAGAGGUGAAAUUCGUAGAUAUUAGGAAGAACACCGGUGGCGAAGGCGGCCCACUGGUCCGGUACUGACGCUGAGGUGCGAAAGCGUGGGGAGCAAACAGG
RNAcentral lists this ribosomal RNA (253 nucleotides) under uncultured bacterium. Its description in RNAcentral is "partial 16S ribosomal RNA". It matches the Rfam family "Bacterial small subunit ribosomal RNA", at positions 524 to 776 of the family's 1533-position model. The record is from RNAcentral.